RNAcentral lists this ribosomal RNA (301 nucleotides) under uncultured bacterium. RNAcentral's name for it is "partial 16S ribosomal RNA". It matches the Rfam family "Bacterial small subunit ribosomal RNA", at positions 509 to 807 of the family's 1533-position model. The record is from RNAcentral.
CAGUAGCCACGGGAAUACAGAGGGUGCGAGCGUUAAUCGGAUUUACUGGGCGUAAAGCGUGCGUAGGCGGCUUCUUAAGUCGGAUGUGAAAUCCCUGAGCUUAACUUAGGAAUUGCAUUCGAUACUGGGAAGCUAGAGUAUGGGAGAGGAUGGUAGAAUUCCAGGUGUAGCGGUGAAAUGCGUAGAGAUCUGGAGGAAUACCGAUGGCGAAGGCAGCCAUCUGGCCUAAUACUGACGCUCAUGCACGAAAGCGUGGGGAGCAAACAGGAUUAGAUACCCCCGUAGUCCCUGUCUCUUAUAC